UCUGGAGUGCAGUGGCAUGAUCUCAGCUCACUGUAACCUUCCUCCAGAGUUCUAGCGAUUCUCAUGCCUCAGCCUCCCGAGUAGACGGGACUACAGGCACGUGCGCCACUGCGCCCAGCUAAUUUUUUGUAUUUCCGGUAGAGACGGGUUUCGCCAUGUUGGCUAGGCUGGUCUUGAACUCCUGGCCUCAAUUGAUCCACCCUUUUCGACCUCCCAAUGUGCUAGGAUUAGAGGCGUAAGCCACCACGCCCAGCCUAAAUCUUGAAUUUAUUUUUGUUAUAUCUGGCUGCUUCUAAUUUCCAGUAACAAUUUACUCAUCCCACAGAUAAAUACCGUGGGUGCUACUUUCUACCAUGCAUUGUUCUGGGUAUGAUACAUAAAGACCUAACAAUAAACGGAACUUUCCAGGCCCUUCCCUUUUGGAUCUUAUGUUCUAAUAGAGGAAGAUGGUCAAUAAGCAAAGAAGCAACUAAACAAACAAGAAAAUUAUCACAUAAUGGUAAAUAUUUCACAGAGAAUUAGAACAAAAUGAUAGGUAGAGAAUGGCCACUUCAGGCUGAUCAUCAGAAAAGGCCUGCCUUUAGGAUAUUUCCCCUCUCUCUCCCUUCCUUUCUAGUUCCCUUGCCAACAGGCCUUCGCCAUCUCACGACUACAUUAAUUAUUACAACAGCUUACUGGAUGGGCUUCUGGACUCCCGAAUCUACUCCAUAUCCUGCUGCUAGACCGAUCUUCUGUUUGAUUGUUGUGGAAAGAAGGGGAUAAGUCCUGUGGAAAAUUGUAAUUUUCUCCUUUGUUAAACAUACAGCCUAAAUUACAGAAUUCAGAUCUAAUUUUUACUCACCAGACAGAAAACUUAAUGACUCAUUUAAUUAAUAAGGGAUUAAAAUGGGAGAGAUCUCUUUGAAUUUUGGCUCUGAGACCUUUCUGAUUAGAGUUUAUGGAGAAGGAAUUAUGCAGUAUCUUGGAGGGAGCAAGGACCAAGGCCUUUUUCUUUAACCAUUGAGGCUGCACAGAAAAGAACAUUCACUCAUGGAGCUCCAACAAGUAAACAAUUUGCCACCGCAAUUCACAAUUCCAAUUCCCAACAAUGCCAAUUUGCCAUAGCAUUUUUUGGAUGAGCUAGUAAUCUGCUUCAGAAUCCUUAACAUCACGUUACUCAGCAAUAACUAAGUACUAUUCAGUUGGAGCCAACAAGCAAGAUGAAAUUCUAGUGCUAUUGCUGGUCAAGACCUUCCUUUUCACACUUAAGACAGGCAUCCCAUGUGACUCUCCUUGAGAUAAAAAGUGGACUGGAGGCCGGGCGCGGUGGCUCACGCCUGUAAUCCCAGCACUUUGGGAGGCCGAGGCGGGCGG
Molecule: long non-coding RNA, 1353 nt
Filed under: Homo sapiens (human)
Lineage: Eukaryota; Metazoa; Chordata; Mammalia; Primates; Hominidae
Description: HSALNT0139339
Source: RNAcentral